AGUAACACGUGGGUAACCUGCCCAUAAGAGGGGGAUAACAUCCGGAAACGGAUGCUAAUACCGCAUAUUUCCAAUUGUCUCCUGACAGAUGGAAAAAAGGUGGCUUCGGCUACCGCUUAUGGAUGGACCCGCGGCGUAUUAGCUAGUUGGUGAGGUAAUGGCUCACCAAGGCGAUGAUACGUAGCCGACCUGAGAGGGUGAUCGGCCACACUGGGACUGAGACACGGCCCAGACUCCUACGGGAGGCAGCAGUAGGGAAUCUUCCGCAAUGGACGAAAGUCUGACGGAGCAAUGCCGCGUGAGUGAAGAAGGUUUUCGGAUCGUAAAACUCUGUUGUUAGAGAAGAACAAGGAUGAGAGUAACUGCUCAUCCCCUGACGGUAUCUAACCAGAAAGCCACGGCUAACUACGUGCCAGCAGCCGCGGUAAUACGUAGGUGGCAAGCGUUGUCCGGA
This 454-nucleotide ribosomal RNA is filed under the name Carnobacterium inhibens. Its description in RNAcentral is "bacterial SSU rRNA". It matches the Rfam family "Bacterial small subunit ribosomal RNA", at positions 109 to 549 of the family's 1533-position model. The record is from RNAcentral. Lineage: Bacteria; Bacillati; Bacillota; Bacilli; Lactobacillales; Carnobacteriaceae.